CAACAGGGAUUGCCCCAGUAACGGCGAGUGAAGCGGCAACAGCUCAAAUUUGAAAUCUGGCUCUCGGGCCCGAGUUGUAAUUUGUAGAGGAUGCUUUUGGUGAGGUGCCUUCCGAGUUCCCUGGAACGGGACGCCAUAGAGGGUGAGAGCCCCGUCUGGUUGGACGCCGAACCUCUGUAAAGCUCCUUCGACGAGUCGAGUAGUUUGGGAAUGCUGCUCUAAAUGGGAGGUAUAUGUCUUCUAAAGCUAAAUACCGGCCAGAGACCGAUAGCGCACAAGUAGAGUGAUCGAAAGAUGAAAAGAACUUUGAAAAGAGAGUUAAACAGUACGUGAAAUUGUUGAAAGGGAAGCGCUUGUGACCAGACUUGGGCUUGGUUGAUCAUCCGGGGUUCUCCCCGGUGCACUCUUCCGGCCCAGGCCAGCAUCAGUUCGCCCUGGGGGAUAAAGGCAUCGGGAACGUGGCUCUCUCCGGGGAGUGUUAU
This 482-nucleotide ribosomal RNA is filed under the name Fusarium sp. NRRL 32821. RNAcentral's name for it is "eukaryotic LSU rRNA". It matches the Rfam family "Eukaryotic large subunit ribosomal RNA", at positions 66 to 559 of the family's 3401-position model. The record is from RNAcentral. Lineage: Eukaryota; Fungi; Ascomycota; Sordariomycetes; Hypocreales; Nectriaceae.